UAAUUUCUAGUGGACCCCACUCCCUCUCUCUCUCCAAUGGAUUCGCGAUGCGCUCUUCUCCAUCGCCGCCAUCAUUCUCGCCGGUGGCCUCUACUGGUUCAUCUGAAGGUGGAGAAAGGCUUCGAUUUGGAUCAAAAGGUUUGUUCUUUGAUUCUCACAACGAUGUGCCAGCAGCUAAAUUACGGCGGCGGCGGCGGUGGUUGUGAAAUUUUGAGGUUCUUGGAUGAUUUGAAAAAUUUGGGUUUUAAA
RNAcentral lists this long non-coding RNA (249 nucleotides) under Salvia miltiorrhiza (redroot sage). Its description in RNAcentral is "long non-coding RNA (SMIL_LNC013796)". Lineage: Eukaryota; Viridiplantae; Streptophyta; Magnoliopsida; Lamiales; Lamiaceae. The record is from RNAcentral.